GUGAAUCAUCGAAUCUUUGAACGCAAGUUGCACUCUCUGGUAUUCCGGAGAGUAUGCCUGUUUGAGGGUCAGUUUAAAUAAAAAUCGGUGUGGUUGCUGCCUUUCGUGGUGACGCACCGGAUUUGGGUCGUCUUGCCUUCGGUUAAGUGACCUAAAUUUUUCAAUGUUUUUUUUGGAAGGUAUUUAAUUGAUUUUAGGAACUUUUGCGAUAUCG
Molecule: unclassified non-coding RNA, 214 nt
Filed under: Glomeraceae sp.
Lineage: Eukaryota; Fungi; Glomeromycota; Glomeromycetes; Glomerales; Glomeraceae
Description: partial contains 5.8S ribosomal RNA and internal transcribed spacer 2
Rfam family: 5.8S ribosomal RNA (bases 1-71)
Source: RNAcentral